UCCAGGAGAGUCACCGUGGAGCCUUCGU
This 28-nucleotide small RNA is filed under the name Bombyx mori (domestic silkworm). Its description in RNAcentral is "ovarian small RNA-26821". Lineage: Eukaryota; Metazoa; Arthropoda; Insecta; Lepidoptera; Bombycidae. The record is from RNAcentral.